CCUACGGGAGGCAGCAGUGGGGAAUAUUGCACAAUGGGGGAAACCCUGAUGCAGCGACGCCGCGUGAGUGAAGAAGUAUUACGGUAUGUAAAGCUCUAUCAGCAGGGAAGAAAUAGCGACCUUUGGGUCGCCAGACGGUACCUGAUUAAGAAGCCCCGGCUAACUACGUGCCAGCAGCCGCGGUAAUACGUAGGGGGCAAGCGGUAUCCGGAUUUACUGGGUGUAAAGGGAGCGUAGACGGCAGCGCAAGGCUGAAGUGAAAUGCCGGGGCUUAACCCCGGAACUGCUUUGGAAACUGGGCAGCUAGAGUGGAGGAGAGGUAAGUGGAAUGCCUGGGGUAGCGGUGAAAUGCGUAGAUAUUAGGAGGAACACCAGUGGCGAAGGCGGCUUACUGGACUGUAACUGACGUUGAGGCUCGAAAGCGUGGGGAGCAAACAGGAUUAGAUACCCUUGUAGUC
This 458-nucleotide ribosomal RNA is filed under the name uncultured bacterium. RNAcentral's name for it is "partial 16S ribosomal RNA". It matches the Rfam family "Bacterial small subunit ribosomal RNA", at positions 338 to 795 of the family's 1533-position model. The record is from RNAcentral.